Molecule: long non-coding RNA, 546 nt
Filed under: Coffea arabica (coffee)
Lineage: Eukaryota; Viridiplantae; Streptophyta; Magnoliopsida; Gentianales; Rubiaceae
Description: long non-coding RNA (CARA_LNC008383)
Source: RNAcentral
UUUUCUUUCUUUUCUCAGUCUCUGUUCUUACACCAUUCCGAAUCUCACACUGUAAAUACCUCUCUUCAUUCACUUUCUCCGUUACUUCAAGUCACUACUUUUCUUUAAAAUCAACACCCAGAUAGAAAACAGAAGACAAACUCUCAACUGUUCCUAUUUGCUUUGUUCAUUCAUACAUGACCAUAUUUUGUUUUUCUUGAUUGAAUGAAUCCCUGGUGAAAUUCAUGUGAAACUUUGGGAAAAAGGGAUCUGAGAAAGUGAAAGAAGUGCGAAAGAUAGAGUUUUUAUGAUGGAAGCGGGUGACUUGCCUGUACAACAAGUUAGUUGCCGCUGAAAGUCAGGUGAAUGUAGUGUUCUUUAUAGUUUAUACCCCUCCUUUUCAGUUACUUGCCCGUACAUCCACCUUUCUAUGUUUAGAACCUUGUUUUGACUAUGUUUUCACUAACCCUUUUAGUGUACAAGCUUAAAAAGAGAGAAAGAAGGAGACUUUCUUUUUUUUUUUUUUUUUCACAUAGUUGAUGGGAGGAUUUUAGAAUUGCUAUUUUU